UUCAAUGGCUCUAGAAAAUCUCUUGCAGACGUAGUAUUACCUACUCCAUGCUUGAAUGAGGAAUGCUGGGUAUCCAGAACCGGAAGAUCAAAUAAGUUAUCAGACGGAGAAUCCUCCAGAGAGGAUUCUGCAAAAGGAAUAUGGUUUCUACUGCAGGUGUGCAAAUCCUGAUGAGUUGUUCGGCCAUUCUCGAAAGAUGUUGAAGUUGACUCAGUUAAUGAUAUUCUAUGCAAAGCAUUGUAUACUUCUUGGUCCUUUAAAUUAGGGAAAUUACCAGAUUCCCACUGUUCAGAGUUUGACUCAGACUGAUGGCUAAGAUAAUCAUCUGAUAGAUCGGGAGAUGAUCCGGAAAAUGUGUCAUCAUCGGAGUCUGAACCAACUUCUUGCAGAGGAAUAGAAGGCUCUGGUACUAGCUGAAAUGAAG
This 424-nucleotide unclassified non-coding RNA is filed under the name Hevea brasiliensis (rubber tree). Lineage: Eukaryota; Viridiplantae; Streptophyta; Magnoliopsida; Malpighiales; Euphorbiaceae. The record is from RNAcentral.